AAUUUUGUUGAAUUUUUAGGUACGAGUUAGCUGAUGAUUGUGUUGAUGAUGACGAUGCAAAGGUUGGAAUCUCUGAGUUGAGGAAGGCGGUUUUAGAGGAGCUGAAGAUGCAUAAUUCACUGGUACAGGAGUGGGGAUUGGACCUUGCAAAAGAGAACAAUAUUAAUUCUGCAACGGUAAAAUACACACAAUUCCUGUUAGCCACAGCCUCUGGGAAGAUUGAAGGACUAAAAGGUGCUGGUAAACUCGCAACACCAUUUGAGAAAACAAAAA
Non-coding RNA from Arachis ipaensis, 273 nucleotides. Lineage: Eukaryota; Viridiplantae; Streptophyta; Magnoliopsida; Fabales; Fabaceae. The record is from RefSeq and is a predicted model, not a curated record.